This 201-nucleotide ribosomal RNA is filed under the name uncultured bacterium. RNAcentral describes it as "partial 16S ribosomal RNA". It matches the Rfam family "Bacterial small subunit ribosomal RNA", at positions 524 to 724 of the family's 1533-position model. The record is from RNAcentral.
UACGAAGGGGGCUAGCGUUGCUCGGAAUGACUGGGCGUAAAGGGCGCGUAGGCGGAGUGUUUUGUCGGGCGUGAAAUUCCAGGGCUCAACCUUGGGGCUGCGUUCGAGACGGGCAUUCUGAAGUGGGGAAGAGGGUCGUGGAAUUCCCAGUGUAGAGGUGAAAUUCGUAGAUAUUGGGAAGAACACCGGUGGCGAAGGCGG